Molecule: small RNA, 31 nt
Filed under: Bombyx mori (domestic silkworm)
Lineage: Eukaryota; Metazoa; Arthropoda; Insecta; Lepidoptera; Bombycidae
Description: ovarian small RNA-9936
Source: RNAcentral
AAACCCCACUGCCCGGGACGAAGCUCCCUGU